UCAAACUUGGUCAUUUAGAGGAAGUAAAAGUCGUAACAAGGUUUCCGUAGGUGAACCUGCGGAAGGAUCAUUACCGAGUUAGGGUUCCUCUCACGGGCCCGACCUCCCAACCCUCUGCCUAUCACACCUUGUCGUUGCUUCGGCGGAACGGUUGGACCCCCUCGAUGGACACAUGGGGGGGUCGUGACCGCCGGGGGUGCCUUCACCCCGGGACAGCGUCCGCCGAUGGCCAACCACACAACUUCUUGUUUCCAAACCGGUCAUCUAAAUCAAACUUGAGAUAAUCAAAACAAAACUUUCAACAACGGAUCUCUUGGUUCUGGCAUCGAUGAAGAACGCAGC
RNAcentral lists this unclassified non-coding RNA (342 nucleotides) under uncultured fungus. RNAcentral's name for it is "partial contains small subunit ribosomal RNA, internal transcribed spacer 1, and 5.8S ribosomal RNA". The stretch from base 1 to 73 matches the Rfam family "Eukaryotic small subunit ribosomal RNA", at positions 1759 to 1831 of the family's 1831-position model. Lineage: Eukaryota; Fungi. The record is from RNAcentral.